RNAcentral lists this ribosomal RNA (468 nucleotides) under uncultured bacterium. RNAcentral's name for it is "partial 16S ribosomal RNA". It matches the Rfam family "Bacterial small subunit ribosomal RNA", at positions 28 to 507 of the family's 1533-position model. The record is from RNAcentral.
GACGAACGCUGGCGGCGUGCUUAACACAUGCAAGUCGAACGGAAAGGCCCUGCUUUUGUGGGGUGCUCGAGUGGCGAACGGGUGAGUAACACGUGAGUAACCUGCCCUUGACUUUGGGAUAACUUCAGGAAACUGGGGCUAAUACCGGAUAGGAGCUCCUGCUGCAUGGUGGGGGUUGGAAAGUUUCGGCGGUUGGGGAUGGACUCGCGGCUUAUCAGCUUGUGGGUGGGGUAGUGGCUUACCAAGGCUUUGACGGGUAGCCGGCCUGGGAGGGUGACCGGCCACCUUGGGCCUGAGGUACGGCCCAGACUGCUACGGUAGGCAGCAGUGGGGAAUAUUGCACAGUGGGCGGGAGCCUGAUGCAGCAACGCCGCGUGCGGGAUGACGGCCUUCGGGUUGUAAACCGCUUUCGCCUGUGACGAAGCGUGAGUGACGGUAAUGGGUAAAGAAGCACCGGCUAACUACGUG